AGCAAUGUACAACCACCGCACGUGCUGAAGGUGACGAAGACCCUGUUCGUGCGAGCCUUUGACUUCAGCUACCUCCUAAAGGACAUCCCCCGAUGGCGGCCCACCCCCUCUGGCGAUUACUUCACACAGCUUAUCUGGGCCAAAUCUCACCUGGUAGGCUGCGGAUACACCCUCUUCAUGGAGGAAGAGAUUGGCGUUCGCAUGCUCAUCUGCCUCUUCGGGCCCAAAGGUAACGUGGCGAAUGCGAGCGUCUACGAGGAAGGCGAGCCUGAAUGCGACGUCCCUUCUAAACACUACGAGGGCCUGUGCACCGAGCCGGCGGUCAACCAGGCCUUUAAACCCAUCCCCUGCCACCAAGAA
Cloeon dipterum is the source of this 360-nucleotide long non-coding RNA. RefSeq lists it as uncharacterized. The record is from RefSeq and is a predicted model, not a curated record. NCBI's taxonomy places the organism in Eukaryota, Metazoa, Arthropoda, Insecta, Ephemeroptera, Baetidae. The transcript is spliced from 3 exons.